CCUACGGGGGGCUGCAGUGGGGAAUUUUGGACAAUGGGGGAAACCCUGAUCCAGCCAUGCCGCGUGUCUGAAGAAGGCCUUCGGGUUGUAAAGGACUUUUGUCUGGGAGGAAAUCCCUAGCGUUAAUAGCGUUGGGGGAUGACAGUACCGGAAGAAUAAGCACCGGCUAACUACGUGCCAGCAGCCGCGGUAAUACGUAGGGUGCAAGCGUUAAUCGGAAUUACUGGGCGUAAAGGGUGCGCAGGCGGUGACACAAGCCAGAUGUGAAAUCCCCG
Molecule: ribosomal RNA, 275 nt
Filed under: uncultured Aquaspirillum sp.
Lineage: Bacteria; Pseudomonadati; Pseudomonadota; Betaproteobacteria; Neisseriales; Aquaspirillaceae
Description: partial 16S ribosomal RNA
Rfam family: Bacterial small subunit ribosomal RNA
Source: RNAcentral